GAUGAAGAACGUAGCGAAAUGCGAUAAGUAGUGUGAAUUGCAGAAUUCAGUGAAUCAUCGAAUCUUUGAACGCACAUUGCGCCCCUUGGUAUUCCAUGGGGCAUGCCUGUUCGAGCGUCAUUUGUACCCUCAAGCUUUGCUUGGUGUUGGGCGUCUUGUCGUAUUACGACUCGCCUUAAAUACAUUGGCAGCCGGCACUUUGGCCUAGGAGCGCAGCACAUUUUGCGAUCGUAGCCCGUUGUACUGGCGUCCAUCAAGAACAUUUACCACGUUUGACCUCGGAUCAGGUAGGGAUACCCGCUGAACUUAAGCAUAUCAAUAAGCGGAAGA
RNAcentral lists this unclassified non-coding RNA (330 nucleotides) under soil metagenome. Its description in RNAcentral is "partial contains 5.8S ribosomal RNA, internal transcribed spacer 2, and large subunit ribosomal RNA". The stretch from base 1 to 120 matches the Rfam family "5.8S ribosomal RNA", at positions 35 to 154 of the family's 154-position model. The record is from RNAcentral.